RNAcentral lists this non-coding RNA (161 nucleotides) under human gut metagenome. The record is from RNAcentral.
CCCGCGAGGGAGUGGAUGAAGGAAGUCCAAGACGAAACUCGGAGGACACGAACAGGAAAUGGAUACAAGGCCUACCUGCGGGCAAGUCGGCAUUACACGACAAAGCCCCAACCCUAACCGUAGCAGGGUGGUAAAUCCAUGUCCCGCCGGGAGAAAGAUGG